Long non-coding RNA from Centruroides sculpturatus (bark scorpion), 191 nucleotides. RefSeq lists it as uncharacterized. NCBI's taxonomy places the organism in Eukaryota, Metazoa, Arthropoda, Arachnida, Scorpiones, Buthidae. The record is from RefSeq and is a predicted model, not a curated record. The transcript is spliced from 2 exons.
UGUUUUCUGUUAAUUAAUUUUGAAAAAGAAAUUUUGUGUAUUUCAGAUAAAACAGAUGAUACAAAAAUGCUUGAAGAAUUUUUAUCUAAUGUAGCAGCACCUUCAGUGACUGAAGUAUCAGCUAGAACUGCAUUAAUUUCUUGGAAACCAAUAGAGCAGUCUUCAGAAAAAGAUGAUGGGAAACUUAAUGA